Molecule: ribosomal RNA, 253 nt
Filed under: uncultured bacterium
Lineage: Bacteria
Description: partial 16S ribosomal RNA
Rfam family: Bacterial small subunit ribosomal RNA
Source: RNAcentral
UACGUAGGGGGCAAGCGUUGUUCGGAAUUACUGGGCGUAAAGAGCGUGUAGGCGGCCAAACAGGUCCGUUGUGAAAACUGGAGGCUCAACCUCCAGACGUCGACGGAAACCGUAUGGCUAGAGUCCGGAAGAGGAGAGUGGAAUUCCUGGUGUAGCGGUGAAAUGCGCAGAUAUCAGGAAGAACACCUAUGGCGAAGGCAGCUCUCUGGGACGGUACUGACGCUGAGACGCGAAAGCGUGGGGAGCGAACAGG